This 301-nucleotide ribosomal RNA is filed under the name uncultured bacterium. RNAcentral describes it as "partial 16S ribosomal RNA". It matches the Rfam family "Bacterial small subunit ribosomal RNA", at positions 509 to 807 of the family's 1533-position model. The record is from RNAcentral.
CAGUCGCCGCGGGAAAACGAAGGGGGCUAGCGUUGUUCGGAAUUACUGGGCGUAAAGCGCACGUAGGCGGACAUUUAAGUCAGGGGUGAAAUCCCGGGGCUCAACCCCGGAACUGCCUUUGAUACUGGGUGUCUAGAGUAUGGAAGAGGUGAGUGGAAUUCCGAGUGUAGAGGUGAAAUUCGUAGAUAUUCGGAGGAACACCAGUGGCGAAGGCGGCUCACUGGUCCAUUACUGACGCUGAGGUGCGAAAGCGUGGGGAGCAAACAGGAUUAGAUACCCCUGUAGUCCCUGUCUCUUAUAC